GAGUUUGAUCCUGGCUCAGGAUGAACGCUUGCGACAGGCUUAACACAUGCAAGUCGAGGGGCAGCACAGGUAGCAAUACCGGGUGGCGACCGGCGCACGGGUGAGUAACGCGUAUGCAACUUGCCUAUCAGAGGGGGAUAACCCGGCGAAAGUCGGACUAAUACCGCAUGAAGCAGGGGCCCCGCAUGGGGAUAUUUGCUAAAGAUUCAUCGCUGAUAGAUAGGCAUGCGUUCCAUUAGGCAGUUGGCGGGGUAACGGCCCACCAAACCGACGAUGGAUAGGGGUUCUGAGAGGAAGGUCCCCCACAUUGGUACUGAGACACGGACCAAACUCCUACGGGAGGCAGCAGUGAGGAAUAUUGGUCAAUGGGCGUAAGCCUGAACCAGCCAAGUCGCGUGAGGGAUGAAGGUUCUAUGGAUCGUAAACCUCUUUUAUAAGGGAAUAAAGUGCGGGACGUGUCCCGUUUUGUAUGUACCUUAUGAAUAAGGAUCGGCUAACUCCGUGCCAGCAGCCGCGGUAAUACGGAGGAUCCGAGCGUUAUCCGGAUUUAUUGGGUUUAAAGGUUGCGUAGGCGGCCUUUUAAGUCAGCGGUGAAAGUCUGUGGCUCAACCAUAGAAUUGCCGUUGAAACUGGGGGGCUUGAGUAUGUUUGAGGCANGCGGAAUGCGUGGUGU
Molecule: ribosomal RNA, 673 nt
Filed under: uncultured bacterium
Lineage: Bacteria
Description: bacterial SSU rRNA
Rfam family: Bacterial small subunit ribosomal RNA
Source: RNAcentral